UAGGGAAACUUACGCUAAUACCGCAUACGACCUUAGGGUGAAAGCGGAGGACCUUCGGGCUUCGCGCGGAUAGAUGAGCCGAUGUCGGAUUAGCUAGUUGGCGGGGUAAAGGCCCACCAAGGCGACGAUCCGUAGCUGGUCUGAGAGGAUGAUCAGCCACACUGGAACUGAGACACGGUCCAGACUCCUACGGGAGGCAGCAGUGGGGAAUAUUGGACAAUGGGCGCAAGCCUGAUCCAGCCAUGCCGCGUGGGUGAAGAAGGCCUUCGGGUUGUAAAGCCCUUUUGUUGGGAAAGAAAAGCAGCCGGUUAAUACCCGGUUGUUCUGACGGUACCCAAAGAAUAAGCACCGGCUAACUUCGUGCCAGCAGCCGCGGUAAUACGAAGGGUGCAAGCGUUACUCGGAAUUACUGGGCGUAAAGCGUGCGUAGGUGGUUGUU
This 439-nucleotide ribosomal RNA is filed under the name Xanthomonas sp. Its description in RNAcentral is "bacterial SSU rRNA". It matches the Rfam family "Bacterial small subunit ribosomal RNA", at positions 149 to 583 of the family's 1533-position model. The record is from RNAcentral. Lineage: Bacteria; Pseudomonadati; Pseudomonadota; Gammaproteobacteria; Lysobacterales; Lysobacteraceae.